RNAcentral lists this ribosomal RNA (994 nucleotides) under marine metagenome. Its description in RNAcentral is "bacterial SSU rRNA". It matches the Rfam family "Bacterial small subunit ribosomal RNA", at positions 16 to 1055 of the family's 1533-position model. The record is from RNAcentral.
AUCAUGGCUCAGAACGUACGCUGGCGGCACGCUAACACAUGCAAGUCGAACGAAGUAGCAAUACUUAGUGGCAGACGGGUGAGUAACAUGUAGGUAUCUACCCUUUGGCCUGGAAUAACACGAGGAAACUUGUGCUAAUACCGGAUAAGUCUUUACGGAGAAAGCUUUAUGCACCAUUGGAUGAGCCUGCACUUGAUUAGUUUGUUGGUGGGGUAAUGGCCUACCAAGACUGUGAUCAAUAGCUGAUUUGAGAGGAUGAUCAGCCACAUUGGGACUGAGACACGGCCCAAACUCCUACGGGAGGCAGCAGUGGGGAAUCUUGCACAAUGGAGGAAACUCUGAUGCAGCGAUGCCGCGUGAGUGAAGAAGGCCUUUGGGUUGUAAAGCUCUUUCGUCGGGGAAGAAAAUGACUGUACCCGAAUAAGAAGGUCCGGCUAACUUCGUGCCAGCAGCCGCGGUAAUACGAAGGGACCUAGCGUAGUUCGGAAUUACUGGGCUUAAAGAGUUCGUAGGUGGUUGAAAAAGUUAGUGGUGAAAUCCCAGAGCUUAACUCUGGAACUGCCAUUAAAACUUUUCAGCUAGAGUAUGAUAGAGGAAAGCAGAAUUUCUAGUGUAGAGGUGAAAUUCGUAGAUAUUAGAAAGAAUACCAAUUGCGAAGGCAGCUUUCUGGAUCAUUACUGACACUGAGGAACGAAAGCAUGGGUAGCGAAGAGGAUUAGAUACCCUCGUAGUCCAUGCCGUAAACGAUGUGUGUUAGACGUUGGAAAUUUAUUUUCAGUGUCGCAGCGAAAGCGAUAAACACACCGCCUGGGGAGUACGACCGCAAGGUUAAAACUCAAAUGAAUUGACGGGGACCCGCACAAGUAGUGGAGCAUGUGGUUUAAUUCGAAGAUACGCGCAGAACCUUACCAACACUUGACAUGUUCGUCGCGACUCUAAGAGAUUAGAGUUUUCGGUUCGGCCGGACGAAACACAGGUGCUGCAUGGCUGUCGU